GAUGAACGCUGGCGGCGUGCCUAAUACAUGCAAGUCGAGCGAACAGACGAGGAGCUUGCUCCUCUGACGUUAGCGGCGGACGGGUGAGUCACACGUGUAUAACCUACCUAUAAGACUGGGAUAACUUCGGGAAACCGGCGCUAAUACCGGAUAAUAUAUUGAACCGCAUGGUUCAAUAGUGAAAGACGGUUUUGCUGUCACUUAUAGAUGGAUCCGCGCCGCAUUAGCUAGUUGGUAAGGUAACGGCUUACCAAGGCAACGAUGCGUAGCCGACCUGAGAGGGUGAUCGGCCACACUGGAACUGAGACACGGUCCAGACUCCUACGGGAGGCAGCAGUAGGGAAUCUGCCGCAAUGGGCGAAAGCCUGACGGAGCAACGCCGCGUGAGUGAUGAAGGUCUUCGGAUCGUAAAACUCUGUUAUUAGGGAAGAACAAAUGUGUAAGUAACUAUGCACGUCUUGACGGUACCUAAUCAGAAAGCCGCGGCUAACUACGUG
Molecule: ribosomal RNA, 497 nt
Filed under: uncultured bacterium
Lineage: Bacteria
Description: partial 16S ribosomal RNA
Rfam family: Bacterial small subunit ribosomal RNA
Source: RNAcentral